GCAUUAUACGGCGAAACUGCGAAUGGCUCAUUAUAUAAGUUAUCGUUUAUUUGAUAGCACAUUACUACUUGGAUAACCGUGGUAAUUCUAGAGCUAAUACAUGCUAAAAAUCCCGACUUCGGAAGGGAUGUAUUUAUUAGAUUAAAAACCAAUGCCCUCUGGGCUCUCUGGUGAAUCAUGAUAACUGCUCGAAUCGCAGGGCCUCGUGCCGGCGAUGGUUCAUUCAAAUUUCUUCCCUAUCAACUUUCGAUGUUUGGGUAUUGGCCAAACAUGGUUACAACGGGUAACGGAGGGUUAGGGCUCGACCCCGGAGAAGGAGCCUGAGAGACGGCUACUACAUCCAAGGAAGGCAGCAGGCGCGCAAAUUACCCAAUCCCGACACGGGGAGGUAGUGACAAUAAAUACUGAUACAGGGCUCUUUCGGGUCUUGUAAUUGGAAUGAGUACAAUUUAAAUCCCUUAACGAGGAACAAUUGGAGGGCAAGUCUGGUGCCAGCAGCCGCGGUAAUUCCAGCUCCAAUAGCGUAUAUUAAAGUUGUUGUGGUUAAAAAGCUCGUAGUUGAACCUUGGGCCUGGCUGGCCGGUCCGCCUCACCGCGUGUACUGGUCCGGCCGGGCCUUUCCCUCUGUGGAACCCCAUGCCCUUCACUGGGCGUGGCGGGGAAACAGGACUUUUACUUUGAAAAAAUUAGAGUGCUCCAGGCAGGCCUAUGCUCGAAUACAUUAGCAUGGAAUAAUAGAAUAGGACGUGCGGUUCUAUUUUGUUGGUUUCUAGGACCGCCGUAAUGAUUAAUAGGGACAGUCGGGGGCAUCAGUAUUCAAUUGUCAGAGGUGAAAUUCUUGGAUCUAUUGAAGACUAACUACUGCGAAAGCAUUUGCCAAGGAUGUUUUCAUUAAUCAGGAACGAAAGUUAGGGGAUCGAAGACGAUCAGAUACCGUCGUAGUCUUAACCAUAAACUAUGCCGACUAG
RNAcentral lists this ribosomal RNA (968 nucleotides) under Pleurocordyceps aurantiaca. Its description in RNAcentral is "SSU rRNA". It matches the Rfam family "Eukaryotic small subunit ribosomal RNA", at positions 71 to 1049 of the family's 1831-position model. Lineage: Eukaryota; Fungi; Ascomycota; Sordariomycetes; Hypocreales; Polycephalomycetaceae. The record is from RNAcentral.